This 494-nucleotide ribosomal RNA is filed under the name uncultured bacterium. RNAcentral's name for it is "bacterial SSU rRNA". It matches the Rfam family "Bacterial small subunit ribosomal RNA", at positions 16 to 507 of the family's 1533-position model. The record is from RNAcentral.
AUCCUGGCUCAGAUUGAACGCUGGCGGCAUGUCUUACACAUGCAAGUCGAACGGCAGCGGACCUUCGGGUGCCGGCGAGUGGCGAACGGGUGAGUAAUAUAUCGGAACGUACCUUUCAGUGGGGGAUAACGUAGCGAAAGUUACGCUAAUACCGCAUAUUCUGUGAGCAGGAAAGCAGGGGAUCGCAAGACCUUGCGCUGAUUGAGCGGCCGAUAUCAGAUUAGCUAGUUGGUGAGGUAAAGGCUCACCAAGGCGACGAUCUGUAGCGGGUCUGAGAGGAUGAUCCGCCACACUGGAACUGAGACACGGUCCAGACUCCUACGGGAGGCAGCAGUGGGGAAUUUUGGACAAUGGGCGCAAGCCUGAUCCAGCCAUGCCGCGUGAGUGAAGAAGGCCUUCGGGUUGUAAAGCUCUUUCGGCCGGGAAGAAAUCGCACGGGUUAAUACCCUGUGUGGAUGACGGUACCGGAAUAAGAAGCACCGGCUAACUACGUG